This 601-nucleotide long non-coding RNA is filed under the name Setaria italica (foxtail millet). Its description in RNAcentral is "long non-coding RNA (SITA_LNC006139)". The record is from RNAcentral. Lineage: Eukaryota; Viridiplantae; Streptophyta; Magnoliopsida; Poales; Poaceae.
AGCAUUUGUUGUCAAUUGUUGUCGGAACAAAUUGCCAGAGUUUUGAAAAGAGGUGUGAAAGGCAUCUGAAUGAUGAAGCCUUAGAUAGACAGUUUGACACCAAUAAAUUUGUUGCAGAGUAGCAAAAGUCAAGGAUAUCUAUAUCAGAAUCGCAUCCAUAGCUCAAGCAGAAAGAAAAAAAAACAAAGCUUGGGUGUGAAAAUGCAAUCAUGACAGAUGCGAUAUUAGAAUUUUACCUUCUAACCGAUUCAAUGAACUUCGCAAGAAUGACAGACUCAAUGUGCGACUCUGCAAGUGUGAGCAGAUGAUUCAAACACCUAUUCCACGCACCAAAACCUCCAAGCGUCUUGCUAUGCUUCUGAAGUCGAGCAGCUACACUAUGUAGCAACCGAGAUGUCCGGUACUGGGGAGAAAGUUUGUCCGAUCAGUACAGGAAGUGAACAUGAGAGAACUCUCAGUAACUAUGAAUAAUGGACUUACCCUGAAUGCAUCCAGCUGGAAAUUAGGAUCCCGCAGAUGAUCUUCCCCUUCCCAUCGGGCAGUGACAGGAUUAGGCUGGGAUAGGUAGGUACCCAUGGAGUCUCUCAAGUAAUUCCAGGUU